GCUGAUAAAGUUGUUUGAUGCCUUGGGGGAAAGUAGCACAGCAAGUUUUCAUCAAAGAUCAUGUAAGAUACUUAAAUAAAUAAAUAAAUAUUAGUUUGAGUUGAUAAUUAAGUAUCAUAAGUUUUAAAGUUUAGGUUUCAAAAAAGCCCCAAUAAGAGAUGUUCUUAGUUCCUAAAUGUAUAUGCUAUUGCGUCAUAUGGUUUUAGAAUGAUGAUAAAAAUUACAAAUAUGUUUCCCUUUUCCUGUCCUUUACAACUUGAAAUGCCUUGUCAAAUAUCUAUUAGGGAAAAAAUAUGUUAAACGUAUUUGUAUCAUAUUUCAACAUUGACUCCAUAAAUGAAAUAGCAUUACCAGCUAUGACAUUUAUUUUUAUAUAGGCAAUAUUAAUUUAGUAAUUUGUUAACCCAAUUAUCAGUGAUUGCCAGGAAAUAAAAAACAAAAAUUUUUGCUUUGAAAAUGAGGCAUUUGUUUAUGGGUAAUGUAGCCAUUAAAUGCAAGCAAUCCCCACUCAUCAGCAUUAAGAAACUCAAGUUCAAAUGUUACAAAUUUUAUCAUUUAUAAGAAUCUCAUGCUAACAAUAGAAAAUUUAAAGGUUGUGUCAGAUUUACUGGCAUCACUAAUCAUGGUAAGUAUUACCUUCAAUUCAGAUAAAUCUAAA
This 658-nucleotide unclassified non-coding RNA is filed under the name Hevea brasiliensis (rubber tree). Lineage: Eukaryota; Viridiplantae; Streptophyta; Magnoliopsida; Malpighiales; Euphorbiaceae. The record is from RNAcentral.